GACGAACGCUGGCGGCGUGCUUAACACAUGCAAGUCGAACGGAAAGGCCCUGCUUUUGUGGGGUGCUCGAGUGGCGAACGGGUGAGUAACACGUGAGUAACCUGCCCUUGACUUUGGGAUAACUUCAGGAAACUGGGGCUAAUACCGGAUAGGAGCUCCUGCUGCAUGGUGGGGGGUGGAAAGUUUCGGCGGUUGGGGAUGGACUCGCGGCUUAUCAGCUUGUUGGUGGGGUAGUGGCUUACCAAGGCUUUGACGGGUAGCCGGCCUGAGAGGGUGACCGGCCCCAUUGGGACUGAGAUACGGCCCAGACUCCUACGGGAGGCAGCAGUGGGGAAUAUUGCACAAUGGGCGGAAGCCUGAUGCAGCAACGCCGCGUGCGGGAUGACGGCCUUCGGGUUGUAAACCGCUUUCGCCUGUGACGAAGCGUGAGUGACGGUAAUGGGUAAAGAAGCACCGGCUAACUACGUG
This 468-nucleotide ribosomal RNA is filed under the name uncultured bacterium. RNAcentral's name for it is "partial 16S ribosomal RNA". It matches the Rfam family "Bacterial small subunit ribosomal RNA", at positions 28 to 507 of the family's 1533-position model. The record is from RNAcentral.